GGGCGUGUGGUCUAGUGGUAUGAUUCUCGCUUUGGGAAUGCGAGAGGCCCUGGGUUCAAUUCCCAGCUCGCCCC
RNAcentral lists this transfer RNA (74 nucleotides) under Dujonia railenensis. RNAcentral describes it as "[Candida] railenensis transfer RNA-Pro(TGG)". It matches the Rfam family "tRNA". From Rfam's summary of the family: Transfer RNA (tRNA) molecules are approximately 80 nucleotides in length. Lineage: Eukaryota; Fungi; Ascomycota; Pichiomycetes; Serinales; Debaryomycetaceae. The record is from RNAcentral. RNAcentral also lists the same sequence under 2 other names.